Molecule: non-coding RNA, 28 nt
Filed under: Rattus norvegicus (Norway rat)
Lineage: Eukaryota; Metazoa; Chordata; Mammalia; Rodentia; Muridae
Source: RNAcentral
UGACCCUCUUCUGUCUCAGCAUCCUGUC